Molecule: ribosomal RNA, 561 nt
Filed under: uncultured bacterium
Lineage: Bacteria
Description: bacterial SSU rRNA
Rfam family: Bacterial small subunit ribosomal RNA
Source: RNAcentral
GGAUUGAAAUGGGCGCAGCCUGAUCCAGCAAUUCCGCGUGAGNGAAGAAGGCCUUCGGGUUGUAAAGCUCUUUUGUCAGGGAAGAAACGGUGAGGGCUAAUAUCCUUUGCUAAUGACGGUACCUGAAGAAUAAGCACCNAGCUAACUACGUGCCAGCAGCCGCGGUAAUACGUAGGGUGCAAGCGUUAAUCGGAAUUACUGGGCGUAAAGCGUGCGCAGGCGGUUUUGUAAGUCUGUCGUGAAAUCCCCGGGCUCAACCUGGGAAUUGCGAUGGAGACUGCAAGGCUAGAAUCUGGCAGAGGGGGGUAGAAUUCCACGUGUAGCAGUGAAAUGCGUAGAGAUGUGGAGGAACACCGAUGGCGAAGGCAGCCCCCUGGGUCAAGAUUGACGCUCAUGCACGAAAGCGUGGGGAGCAAACAGGAUUAGAUACCCUGGUAGUCCACGCCCUAAACGAUGUCUACUAGUUGUCGGGUUUUAAUUAACUUGGUAACGCAGCUAACGCGUGAAGUAGACCGCCUGGGGAGUACGGUCGCAAGAUUAAAACUCAAAAAAAUUGACGGA